AACCUAGCACACCUGCGGUGUGUACCUGCGGAGGGAUCAUUACCGAGUUUACAACUCCCAAACCCCUGUGAACAUACCACUUGUUGCCUCGGCGGAUCAGCCCGCUCCCGGUAAAACGGGACGGCCCGCCAGAGGACCCCUAAACUCUGUUUCUAUAUGUAACUUCUGAGUAAAACCAUAAAUAAAUCAAAACUUUUAGCAAUGGAUCU
This 209-nucleotide unclassified non-coding RNA is filed under the name soil metagenome. Its description in RNAcentral is "partial contains 5.8S ribosomal RNA, internal transcribed spacer 2, and large subunit ribosomal RNA". The record is from RNAcentral.